AGGACGAACGCUGGCGGCGUGCUUAACACAUGCAAGUCGAACGAGGCGCUUGCGCCUAGUGGCGAACGGGUGAGUAACACGUGAGCAACCUGCCCUUGGCUCUGGGGAUAGCCUCCGGAAACGGGGAUUAAUACCGGACAUGACCUUCUCCUGCAUGGGGGAGGGUGGAAAGUUUUUCGGCCAGGGAGGGGCUCGCGGCCUAUCAGCUUGUUGGGGGGGUAACGCCCACCAAGGCGACGACGGGUAGCCGGCCUGAGAGGGCGACCGGCCACACUGGGACUGAGACACGGCCCAGACUCCUACGGGAGGCAGCAGUGGGGAAUUUUGGGCAAUGGGCGAAAGCCUGACCCAGCAACGCCGCGUGAAGGAUGAAAUCUUUCGGGAUGUAAACUUCGCAAGAGUAGGAAGAAUAAGUAGAGGAUAAUACCCUCUAUGAUGACGGUACUAUUGUAAGCUCCGGCUAACUCCGCGCCAGCAGCCGC
Molecule: ribosomal RNA, 482 nt
Filed under: uncultured bacterium
Lineage: Bacteria
Description: SSU rRNA
Rfam family: Bacterial small subunit ribosomal RNA
Source: RNAcentral